Molecule: long non-coding RNA, 842 nt
Filed under: Arabidopsis lyrata
Lineage: Eukaryota; Viridiplantae; Streptophyta; Magnoliopsida; Brassicales; Brassicaceae
Description: long non-coding RNA (ALYR_LNC001638)
Source: RNAcentral
CGCUUUUACAUUAGCAUUACGAGAAAUUAAAGAUAAAAAGAAGGAUGAGAAUUCUUCCUUGUCGCUCUGAAAUUCCUCCAAGUACACUGAAAACGCCGGCCAUUCGGUUGGAGAAGACACCAUCUUCACCAGAUCAGAACAGUCUGUAAGGAAUAACAAUACUUCUCAAUCUGCAACUGUUUAAAUUAAUCGAUCAAAGAUAAUUUUCCAAUUAAUAAUCCAUGAUCAAAUUCUCCAAAUCAAUUAAUGAAACAAUCUUGAUUUAAUUGAUUUUAGGUGUUUCCUCAAUUAAAUUAAUUAGACCCAAAUCUAAUAAUUUAAUACACCAUAAUAUUCUAAUUCAUGAUCACAUUAAUUUGGCUCCAUAAACAAAUCUCCAUAAACCAUACGAACACAUAAUUGACUUUGGUUUAAUAAUCAAUACCAAACCCCACUAAUCGCACACACCACAAUUCUCACACGUGAUCAUGUUACCGGGUUCGGUUCAAUAAACAAAUCCCAUAAUACAUCUAAGACAUAUCUCGUAUUCUAGGAUUGGAUCAUAAGACUUAAGAUUCCUUGGUUUAGGUUGGUUAGACUUCGGUUCAAUAACAACAACCGCAACAAGAUUAGAGACGAGAGUUUAGCUUCGCCGUUUACCUUUCUCGGCGAUUACUCUCAAUGGAUCUGCGUGACGUCUCGACAAGCCGGUUCAAGCUCACGGAGGUUACAUCCUCAUGGCGCAACAAUCAAAAGCAACCAAAGCAUAAGACAAGGCCAAAGAAUUCAUGCACAAGUUACUAUAUAGAUCUAGGGUUUCCUUACCUUUUUUUUUUUUUUCUUUUUUUUUUUUUUUUUUUUUU